UGCUGGCAGAAAAGGAGGAACUUGGCUGACCUCUGCUGGGCUCUGACAGGCACAGUUACAGAUGUUGAUCAGGGUUAAUGAUUUGAUGCAGGAUGUAUAUUUGUUCUCAAGGCUUCCUCUGGCUUUUAUUAACCACUGAAAGGUUUCAGGGAUCAUUAGCAGAGUCAGAGCUGCAUCCUGCUGCUGCUGCAAACGGCUUCAAUUUAGCAGCAGCAGCAGUCGUCUGCGUUCUCUCCAGAUUCCUAAGUGUUCUCAUAGUCCAAAUGUAUUCUGAAAUGCAAAUAACUUUGACCUUAAAUGACUAGAUUUCUGUGGCUGUACAAUGUAUCCUGCAGAGAAAUGAUGAUGCAAGAGAUGGAGGCUUAAAUUACAUGGACGUAAACACAAAAUCUCAGGUUUUUUAAUUAGGGUUUUGAAUGUGGAAAGUGGAAAGAAUCUAUCUUCACUGCGAGGAGAAAGAAGUGAGGUGGAGGGAGAGAAAGUAAACGAGUGAGUGAGGGAGUGAGUGAGGGAGGGAAGCAGAUGGCUGGAAAUAUAGCCUGCUAAAUUAUUCAUCUGGGCUGGAGUCUGGAGAUAGAUAGAUGGAUCGGGGCUGGCAUGGACACUUUUAUUAGGAUUUCAGGAGCUGUGAGCAGAGUGGUUUCAAAACACCGUGAUUGUCUUGUGAGAGUAAGAAAAAUAAUUGCAUCAGGCUCUUUACUGGAAGAGUUCAAAUCUCCAGCUCUCUCUGUGAGGAGGGACUGUCCUGCAGGAUCAGGACAGACAUGCACCUGGAUGUUUUGCUUCAGAAGUAUGAAAAUGACUCAGUACCGUUCAUCGCUGUGAUUGUUUCGGCUGCAGUAAUUCAUCUCACUCUGCAGCAGUGAGGAAAAUGAGUAAAGGAGAAUCAUUUCAAAACAGCCUUGACUCCAAAUUUGACUGGUGAAAACUAAAGCUCUGUCCACGGUUGUGUAGAUAUGUUUGAGGACACGUUCAAGGAGUUUCAGAAAAGUGGGGAUUUUUAGAAACUCUAUGUGAAUUCAUGUAGACAGCAAAAACUUGAGUUUUGGGAAACACUGAUGUUGCCUUGACUUACACAUGACAGUUUUUAUUUAACAUGUACUUAACAUGCCCAAAAAGCAACCAGUCAGCAUCUGAUUUCAUGUUUGAAACUUCCUACUUGUGUUGACUUUCGAGCCCCUGUGGAGUAAAUGACUGGAGCACUUGGUUCAGUCUCUCAGCGUCCUGUCAAUCAUCUGGCCUGACACCUACCCUUAGACAGUGCUUUCAGGAACUGAAAAUUACAGCAUAGAUUUGAUUUGUUUCAUCACUGAUGGUCUCAUUUGCCUUUGUAGGUCAAAUAAAGGCAUCACUGUGAAUUUGAGUAUAUUUCAUAACCAAUGAAAAACUCCUUAUGGUACCUCUAAAAACAUGUGUGGACAUAGCCUAAAGAAGAAUAUACAGUGUACAAAGAUAUCAAGAGCUUUAUUUAUAUUUCCUUAAAUCAGAGACUACUUUCCUUGUUGCACUCGUCCAGUUCUUGCAAAGUCAGAGAGGUUUUAAAAAGUCAAAGAAACACUUUUAAAUGCGCUUUUUUGACCAGGACAAACUUCUCCUCAUGAGGUAAUUCUGGUUAGAUACGUCUAGCUCUGUUACUGGUAUGUUAAAUAAGAUGCAGUGAUUUUUUUUUCUUCUAAAAUCAGCAACAGCAGAGUCUAAAUUUGGGAAAAAUGAAAAAGAAAAAUCCUUCACACGUACUUUAAACCUGAAAUUUGAAAAAUCUUCUCCACAAAUCCAGUCGUGAUUGCAUUGAAUCACAUCAACUGCAGUGGUAUAUUUUAUUGCCGACCAUCGUUUGUUCUCCAGCAGAGUGUUUCGAGAUGUUUUUGUAGCCUGAGUGUUGUCCCCCUUACUGCGGCAUCAUGAAGCCUGUUGUUCCCUCCUGUUCAGAUCUUUGCUUGUGUUGUUCUUACUCUCAGAUGUGCGCCACUUUGAACAAAAGUGUCUGCUUAAUGAAACAGUGACAAACACUUUCCUCCUCAUCCCUGCAGAGUUUGAUGUCGGCAGGACAGUUGAAGGAGAAUUUUAGUUUCCCUGCUGGUUCAUUUUAUUUUUAUUUUUAGAAAAGUGAUUUUGUUAAACCUUUUUUCUUAACUCCUGUCCUUCCACUGAAACUCUCUUUGGAUUUAAAACUCUGUGUAAAUAUUUUCCCUAAAAAAACAUGCCUGAAGGAUCUAACAAUUCAGGGAAAUUUAAUCAAUACUCCUUAAAGAUGACUAAAUUCUUCAUUUUGACCUCAGCUCACUCUGCCAGAGGGGAUCUUGGGUGUUCUGUGGUGUCUGAAAAGCUUUUUUAAAAACUCAGGGGGAUGCGUGGAUUUGACUUCUUUCCAAUUUCCCAACCCCCGUGUCUGUAUAAUCAAAAACUAAGAAAAAUAUUGUAAAAAUGUCCUUUUCUUUUGUCUUAACAAACAGGAUUUAGGAAUGGAGUGACUUGGGGUGCAGGGUGCUCUGUAGAGAAGGAAGUUUAAGGUUAAUCUGAAAUGCUGUCAUACAUUUUCCUGCAAUGUCAGAACACUCACACAACAGAUCUUCAUUUUCAUUCAUAAUAAAUCUAUACGUGGUGUUUCAGCAUGCGAGGAAAAAGGUAAAUUUAAUCCGUAUUUGAUUGUCUAAACAGCAGCUAUGUCCAAUUUAAGCCCUGUGUUUGCAGAUUAUAACAGCAAUGAAUGAGGAGAGAACAAUCUCUCACAGAUGCUCUCGUCUUUGAUUGCAGACACUGGGCGUGUGCAAGGUGAUACAAGAUGCUGUAAAGUGUCUGGAAAAGCAGAACAAAUCAGUUCAAGCCAAACUGACAUAUAUCACAGUAUUUUAGCUGCAGUCACAUCUUCCUUAUAUCUCAUACUGCAGAGUCGAAGUGCUUCGAAAAAAACAGAACUUUCCUCAUAAACAAGCUUCUUCAUUUUUACCUUUACUGUCUAUGAAAUGGUUCAAGAUUCAGGAUGCAGAAAUACGUUUUAGACUUGCUUCUGUCAAGCGUGUUUUCUCUGCAGAGUCUAGUUACUGCAGGACUAUCCUUUACAAACGAGCUCCCUCUUUAUUUUGACAUAAAUUGUCUCUGUAUAAGGUGACUCAGGAGGCAAAAUAAUGUCCCAGCCAUGCUUUGAUUGGAUUAUAGGAGCUGCUGUGAUGUAUUUUCUCAGACUAAAUGCAUGACAGGCCAAAUAAGUAAAAGAAAUGACUGAAAAUUAAACUGCAAAUGUUUUUGCCCUUGAUAUGAAGUGCUCCAGGAGGUUGUGUGAUGUCUAAAAACACAUCGAAAAAGAGUUUUUGUAGUGCAUGGAAAAGGUUAUUGCAGCCUUGAUCAUGCAAUCAAACCCAGCACCUGCAUAGUUUAACCAAUAAGAAAAUAAAAACACGAGGAAAAGUCGACUAAAACCUCCUCUCUUUGGUUCAGGUCACUGAAAAGUUCAUUUGAGGUGAUUCUGGAUGCAGAAAAGUCAGUUUAAUCGGACACUUUAUCAGAUUCCCUGGUUUCAAUCAUUGUAAGUACAAAAAUGUCAAAUCAGAUUUGAGGAAAAGUCUUCAACAAAUGCUCUCCUUCUAAGUUUUGUCCAAAGAUGUCUCCGCAUGAGGAGAUUCAGGACGCUGAGUUUUUGUCUGAAAAUUUGCUGGAAGCUGGAGCGUCCCAGCUGCCCUGUACUGUUCGGGUUUAGAGGAACAAGUUGUUUUGAACACUGAGGUUCAAAGAAAAUACAAAAAAAAAAAAAAAAAUGCUACAAAAGGGGGAAGCGACCUGGUUCGUAAAAUAAGAUUUGUGGUUUGUAUGUGAGGUGAACGUCUGUGCAGGAAAGCCCUUCAGAGUGUUUCAGAGAGUCUCAGCAGACUCAGAAAAAAAUGAAAUUUCAUAAAGAAAUUGCUGCGAUUUUUCAUUCGACUGUUUUUUACAUGCAUGAAAAAUAUUUGCACAAAGACAGGCGCUGUUUGCUUUCCUUCCCCCUUCGCUUCGACAUAUUGAGACAGUAAAUACUCUCUCUCUACGUUCUAUUUUUCCACUUAGCUUUGAGCAUCAUGUGUAGCAUAUAUGACUCUCCCAGACACACACACACACACACACACACACACACACACACACACACACACACACACACACACACACACACACACACACACACACACACUCCUGAGUGGAGGGCUCCGGGGAAAUAGAGCAGAGAGGAAGCUACGUGCCUUCGCCAAGCAAGGGCUGUCUGGUGUCAUGGCAACCGGUGCAGAUUACCCCACCCUCCAUCACUCAGAGAGGAGAGGAGAGUAGGGGAGAGAGGGAUGAGCGCGCACACACAUGCAUGAAUGUAUAGAGGCACACAUAAAAAGCAUUACACAACACCCUAAAUGCUCUUAAAUGAUUCAUAAAUAAUCUGUUCAAACGUGUAAACUUAUGCUUGUCAGCUUUUUGUGGCGCAGCAUCCUCUUUUUCUUAGGAGGAGAGGUAGGAAAGGAGAGGGGAGGAGGAGGAGAGAGAUGAAGAGAGUGGUGCAGGGAAAGGUGGAGGGGGCCAUAAACAUAUAGUAGAGCUAAAUACGUCUGGGGGAUAAACUCUUAUUAAAAGCAGUAAGGUUAUCCGACACAGCUGUACUGUGGGGGUGGGCAGUUAGCAUCGAGCUAACGCCCUAGCCACCAGAGUCCUAUUGAAAUGAAGUUAAAGGGGAAAUAUUAUGCUCUUAAGUGUGCAUGUGUGUAGGUUAAAGCCUGAGGGGUGAGUAAAGGGGAAAAGGAGAGAGAAAGGAUGCCAAGGCAGGAGGAGAGCUGAGGCAGUGAUGCAUGGACAGGCAUGAGGGUGGAACGAGGUUAGUUUGAGAUUUUUGUAGCAGAGCAAGAAGAGAAAGGGUGUGGAUGAGAUAAAUGACAGCAGCACCGAGAGUAGAGAGAGGAGGGAGGAGGGAGGAAAAGGGAGUCGAGGGCGUUUGAGGAUAUCGCCUCCUAAAUUGACUGCGGCACAGCCAUCGUCCACAGUUACAUCACAGCUGAGCUCAAACUCAGGAUGAACCCACCUCCCUCUCUUUCUCUCUCUCUUCUCUCUCCCUCUUUGUCUCUGCCAACCACAAAGCACCCCGAAGCCAACUUUUGACCGUUUGGCAAUUAAGCAGAGAUGACUGAACGUGUGCGAUGGGAUGUAUCAUAGUUUAAUGAGAUGCACCGGAACAGGAUCAGACUCAAAUUUAGAGCAGACGUUUUCGACUCUCUGUCUCCUCUCUGUUUUUUUUUUUCUUUUUUAGUUUUUUUUUUGUGCUGCAGUCAUCGAGGUUGCAAUCCACUUCAUUCAGGCUCUUGUAGUAAACAAGAUGCUGCACAUUUAUUAAAGGCUGUAUCCUCUCUGUUGGGGCAGCCUGUGAUUUGGAGUCAAUUAGCACAACAACAGACAGUGAUUCUGAAAGCAUUAUUAUAAACAAUAUUCAAAUUAUCAAUGCACUGAAAUUAGACUUAACACCCCGCUGUUUCGAAGUGCACACACUCCUCCAGCUCUGCAGGAGAAGGCGGGGGUCCACAGCCCUGCUGAAGGGCACCUUCACAAACCUGUUCUUACUCCAGACUUCUCGAAAACACCAGCCUCAUUUGCAGCCCAGUGUUUCAAAACAAGACGAUCAGGGAUCGACGUAACAACAGGCAGGGCUUUGGGGUCAAUUUAGUAUUGAUGACAUGCAACCUCCAGUCAAACAAAAGCA
Molecule: long non-coding RNA, 5701 nt
Filed under: Xyrichtys novacula (pearly razorfish)
Lineage: Eukaryota; Metazoa; Chordata; Actinopteri; Labriformes; Labridae
Source: RNAcentral